CGGAGGGUGCAAGCGUUGUUCGGAAUUACUGGGCGUAAAGCGCGGGCAGGUGGUUCUUUAAGUCCUUUGUGAAAUUCCGGGGCUCAACCCCGGCUCUGCAUAGGAUACUGGAGGACUGGAGACUGGUAGAGGCGAGCGGAAUUCCUGGUGUAGCGGUGGAAUGCGUAGAUAUCAGGAAGAACACCGGUGGCGAAGGCGGCUCGCUGGGCCAGUUCUGACACUCAUCCGCGAAAGCGUGGGGAGCAAACAGGAUUAGAUACCCUGGUAGUCCACGCCGUAAACGAUGGGCACUAGAUGCCGGGCCUAUAGACGGGUUCGGUGUCGCAGCUAACGCAAUAAGUGCCCCGCCUGGGGAGUACGGCCGCAAGGCUG
RNAcentral lists this ribosomal RNA (372 nucleotides) under uncultured organism. RNAcentral describes it as "bacterial SSU rRNA". It matches the Rfam family "Bacterial small subunit ribosomal RNA", at positions 526 to 896 of the family's 1533-position model. The record is from RNAcentral.